UUCAUUUUAUGGUUCAGGGGUGGACGAUUUAUUCAUUCAGUCCAAAGACUCAGGACGUUCCUAAAAUGUCGAUUAUUCGGGAAAUUCAAUAUAAUGGCCAUCUGUUGGCAUUCCAGCCUUUUUUCUACUUUCCAGGCCUAUAUGAAAAAGAAGGAUAAACAACAUAAAUUUCAAUCUCUAUGAAAGUAAUUACAUAGGAUUUCGGUUAUAUUCUCUCUCUUAAUUUUUGAAAAAUACUUAUACAUUAUUAUGUCUCUUAUACAUUACUAUAAUAUAUGAGGUGAAUCAAUUUGCAUAUAAUUAUGGAAAUAAAGUAUGAUAUCAUUAUUAUCUCUCACAAUUAACGUCAUUAAUUAAUGCACUGAUUUUAUGGAGGCAGAAAAAUAGUAACUGAUAAAUCAAAUUUAAAAUUAGUUAGUAAUGAUAAACUUCAAAUCAAUCAAUAUAUAUAUAUAUAUAUAUAUAUAUAUAUAUAUAUAUAUAUAUAUAUAUAUAUAUAUAUAUAUAUAAAAGACAGAUACUUUAAAAGGAGUAAUUAUUUUGAGCUUUUAAAUUGAUUUAAUAUUUAAUUGAAUUUGAAAAGGCAUUAUACAUACAUUGAAUAUUCAUUUGCAAGAGUUAAAAGUAGUUAACCCACAAACUUUGAAAUAAAUCUCACUUAACCUUUCAUUCAGCCCACGUAACAUUGAUAUAUACGUUUUCCAUGUUUCCUAUAGUAUAUAUUAUUCUUUCUUUUUGAGUCAUGUUAAUCUCCAUCUUGUGUUCUUUUACAUAUUUUAUUGUGCACCGAAAAAAAUAUUCAGUAACCAAAAUAUUGUGCAUGACCUUCUUAAGCUUUCCAUUAGUAGAUUAUUAGUAUUUUGUGACUAUAAAUUUGAGCCAAUGAUGGAGUAAGUAUUAGACCAUUAUGAAAUUGUAUUUCAUUUGUAGUUGGAGAAGUACGAAAUUGUCUUGUUUCCUUUUUCCUUUUCCGAUAUCAUUUUUCAGUUUCUUUCUUGUACUAAUAUUUUCAUAUUUGGUUCAAAAAUAAUUGUUUUUCUUUCCCUUAUUUUUCUUUCUUGUCUCCAAGGCUGUAUUUUAUUUAAGCAAGAAUGUAAUAUGUGAAAUUUUAUUUAUUUUCUUACAAUUUUUAUUUGCAAUGCAUUAGUUUGUGUGAUGUUUUAUUUUUGCAGAAAUAAGAGAAGACUCAAAAAUCAUCAUAAAAAGAUUUAUGAAGAAAAGGACAAAUUCAUUAUCGUCACUGGCAACUUGACAUGAAUAUUUUUUUUGGUAAUGUUUUUUCUAUUUUUUUUUUAUAGCUGAAUAGUAUAAUGUUGAUACUUUUAAAAUUUGAUGUGGUAUAAAAAAGACGUUUGAUGAUCUACAUUUGAUCACAUGCAAAGAAUCAGAAUUCUUUUUUAUAUUUAAAAUGUUUAAAUAGCUUAAUUUUAUUUUUACUGAUUGUUUAUUUACUCCCACUUUGUUUUUCUUUUAAAUACGAGGCAUCGAAGAGGAAUGAAAAGGUUGUGUAUUAGAGGAGUUUAAAGUUCUUCAUUUUUUGUUAUUGUUACUGCAGUUUGAGCGAGUGAAAGAAGAAAAGACUAAAAAAAUUUUUAUUGUGGGCGAGAGCUUGAUCUCUUCUUUCUUCAUCAUUUUACAAAUGAGUUGACUAAUGAACUAAUUAUGCCAAAAGAAUGUAGGCAAUUUUUUUCUAAGAGAAAAAAAAAGUAACAUUUAAAUUUAAUUGAAAAUUAACUAUCAUUUUAUAAUCACUAAUAUGCUAACAAAUUAUGUUAUGGACUAUGGUUAUAUUUAUGUUUGAUUUUUUUUCUUUACUUUUUUGAAAGUCUUUUCCUCAUCGUUUCUUUAUUUAAUACAAUUCAACUUAAACUAUCACUGAUGUGGCAUGCCUCAAUGAGCUUCAUUUCUAUUUAUCUAUUUUCUCAUUUUCUUGAAUUUUUCUCUAAUUUUAUAUUUAGAAAAAUUUCAGAAAAUUAGUUACUCUUUACCGUUUCUCUUUCCUCAUUAUUACUGUUAUUUAUUUAUUUUUCAAUAAUUAUUAUAUUACCUUCUUUUUCUUCGUGCAAUUAUUAAAUAUAUAUCAUCUAUAUUUAUUACUUUCCUUAUUUUACAACUUUAUUUACUUUUUUAUUCUCUCAUUCUUAAAUUAAGAAAUUUUUGUAAAGGAAAUGGUAUCCUAACCUAACGUAUGUUAGAUAACAAAAUCAUUCAGAAAAGUGGAAAAUAAUAUAUUAGCAAAAAAGUAUAUUUGGUAAAGUGUAAUACAAUAAUAAAAAUAAGAGAAGAAAUAUUUUUUAAGUUUCUUUUACAAAAAUAAUUAGUGUAUUAUUAUUAUUAUUAUUAUUAUCAGGACAAUGCAUUUAUCUAAUAUACAUUUAAAUCAUCAUCAAUUGAAAUUAGUACACAUUUUAAGUAAAUGAAAAACAAAAGGACCAAAUCCCUUUCAUUUUGCAAAACUGUUUAAUUUUUAGCAUAUAAAAAAGAUGAGCUGAGUAUCUGACUUAUUAACUUUGCCUCUUUUCUUUUUGAAAUGUUAUUUUCUUAAGAAAAUUGAGGGGUCGUUUGGUGGAGUGUAUUGUCAAAAAUAAUGCAUGCAUUAAUUAAUGUGUAUUAUGAAUAUCUUGUUUGGUACAAUUUUUAGUCUAUGUAUAAUUAAUGCAAACAUUAGUUAUACACUCUAAUGUGUAUUAAGGUGUGUAUUACUAAUACCAUCCAUUUUUUAUGUAUUAGUAAUGGAAAGGCUUUAAUACAUGCAUUAACUUAUUAAAUGACUUUAAUACCCCUCAAUUUCCCACUCAAAAUAUUUCACCAUUCCUUUUCUCGCCAUUUUAAUUUGCAAUAGUGAAUCUUUUCAAAAUAUUUCACAAUUUUUUUCCACCAUUUUAAUCUACAACAAUAAAUAAUUGAUUUAAAUAAUUGUAACAUAUUUUUGCUUUGCUUCGAGAGUCUUUAAAAAGAUAAAAAAAAAAGUUGAGAAUAUUUCUUAAUUUUAUGUCUUAUAUUUUAUUUUUGUUUCGACUAUGUUAAUCUGUUGGCGUAAUAAUUCAUACGCAAAGACGAAGGUCUUGCAAUUAAUUCGAAACCUCUAUAUACUAGUUCAACAAUACUAAUUAUAUUUGAAAUGACAAAAGAAUUUUGUUGCAAAAAAAAUGUACAAAAUCAAAGAAGGGUAUUUUUGUAAACAAACAUUUCUUUUAUAGAAAUUAUGUAAGAUGUAUUAUUUCUUAUACAUCAAACCAAACAAUGUAUAAGAAAUAACACAUGCAUAACUAAUACAAGCAUUAUUAAUGCAAACAUUAUUAGUACACUAUAUUUUGCAUUAUUCUUAUACACUCUAUCAAACGACCCCUGAAAGUGAUACUAUUUCAUGGUCCUUCUAAAAAUCUUCUAUAUAGUAAAAAUAAUUAUGACCAUAAAAAAAAUGUGAUGUAGUGAAUGGAGUUGUACCUCGCUUAAUUGAUCGAGUAAUACACUCAAAUCUAAAGGUGGAUAAUUUUUUGUUAAAGAUGGAGAAAAAAGAUUGUAAAACGACUAUGACUAACAAAGGAUGCGGAAUAGUGGAUGAAGUUGCACCUCGCUUAAUUGGUCGAGUAAUACACUCAAAUUUGAAGAAGGAUAAAUUUUGUUGAAGAUGGAGCAAAAAGAUUGUGAAGAUAAAUAGUAAAAAACAAGUUAUUGUUGUGUGAAGCGAUUUCAAGCUGCAAUUAUUUUCUAUUUGUAAUAUUUUUUUUGUCAUUCUGAUGCAAACUGAUCAAAAAUAAUGUUUAUACUUCAUCGUAAAUAAUGAGAAUAUGAGGUUUUAUAUUGCCUCAAAAAAACUCUAUGAGGUGUUACAUUUUGAAAAAAAAAAUAUCAAUCUAACAGAGAAAUUUAUAGAAAGAGUGAGGAAAGUGUCCAGGGAAAAAGAAGAAUUAUUUGAAGAAAGAAUUAUUCUAUUUAUAAAAUUCAUACUAAAUGAAGAAAAAAAUUAAUUUAAAAGAAGAUAUUAUUCCAUAAACAUAAAAAAGAAGGAAGGUCAAUGAGGUUAAAAGAUAAUAUAAUAAAGAAAAUGAACGAAAAAGGAAAUGAAAAAUUAAUAAGAUAUAAAAUGGCAUAUAAGGAGCUGAAAAUGAUGUUUGUCAUUAUUUCUUUUGACUAUUUUACGCUGCUAAUUCCUUACCUUCUUUUAUGUUUUUAUUUAAAAUGUUUUUUCCUCCUUCAUUUUUUCUUGUGUAUUUUUUUAUUAAAGUUAAUAUUUUCAGCAUUAAAUUUAAAAUGUUAAGAAGCACUAAAAAUCUUACUAUUAUGUAGUUGUUAUUUAUAAGAGAUAAUUUCAUUUAUUCAUAUUUUGGUGAAAUCUCUCUCAAUUAAGUGUGGAUAAAAAAGAAAUAAUAACUAAUGAUAUUUUCUCAAUUUGAAUCUCAACUUUUAAAUAUAUCUCUAAAUACUCUUCAAAUUAAAAAUUACAACUCUUUUAGAUACCACUUAUUAGGACUUUAAAGCAUAAACACUUUUGACAUGAUAAAAAUUUCAACUUCCUUUUGCUUUUUAAUGGUUUAUAGUUUUGUGAAAUUAAAUUUUGUGAAGAAAAGGAGUUUAUUUCAAAAGUAAACAUAUAUAAUCAAUCUGUCUCAUAUUAAUAUGAUGAAAGAAUAAUCUUAAAAUGUAAGUUAAAAUGUACUAAGUUUAACUUGCGAGAAACAAAAUAUGACAAAUAAAUUAAAUAUGAGAGUAAUAAGGCGUGUUUAGCUACUUAAUUAUUUUAUCAUACAUUAUUUGUCAAAUGAGUUUCAGUUAUACCAUUUGUAUUAGUGUAUUAGAUUAACAAAUUCUUUUUCCUGUAUUUUAAAAUUAAAAUUUAUAUACCUACAAUAUAAAUAAUUUGGUUUUGAAUACACUUUUAUUCUAAAAUCAAAUAUGUAUACCCUUGUAUUAAAAGAAUUCUAUAAUUAAACCUUAUGGGUAUAAUCUCCAUAACUUAUUAAAACAUAAUUAUUAAAAAAAUAUUAUUUAUUUAUUUUCUCCUUUUAUGAAGUUUUUCUCAUUUAAAAAAAUUAAGUGAUUAAGUUAAAGGAUAACCCAAUAAUCAUACUAAAAAUGAAAGGUUGAUUACUACUCAUUAUUAUCAGCAAUCAUUAAUAUAAUAUCAUAAAAGGAAAACAAACGUUUUCUAUAGCCCUGAAAGUCAAUUAGUGCUCCUAUAGGUCAUUUAUCUAUUAACAUUAUUCCUCCGUUGAAUAGUAUUUUUUCACUAUUGACUUGAUACACUCUAAUAAACACUAAAUAAUAUGGAUUUUACUAUAUUACUCAAUAUGUUAAAUUUAAUAUUUUGAGAAAUGUAUUAGAUAAUGAGUAAUAUUCAAAUUAAGAGUAAAAUAAGCACAAAUGAAUAAAUUAUCUAAUAAUCUUUUAAACUAAACAAGAAAUUAUUAAACAUCAAUUUUUAAUAUAAUGAACAAAUAAAAAUGGACGGAGUUUAAAGAAAGUACUAUCUUUAUUUUAUUUAUUUACGAAAUGAUCAUCUUUGAGAUUUUACAUACCAAAAUUAAUGUGAAAUUACAAAUUUGAUGGUAAGUAAGAAUCAAUAGAAAUAUCUUAAUGAUUAAAUAUUAGUAUUGAAAGUAAAUUUUCAUAUUAUACACCAUGAAGUAAUUAGUUUCCCUUAUGUUACGUUACUUACCGAGAAAAUUUAGCUCCUGCCUUCACUUUCUUUCGGUAAAAACUUACACGCACCCGAUAUAUACACCAAACUAAUAUUUUUUUACCAUAAAACUAGAGCAAGGCCUAAUUGAAAAUGAAGCGAAUUGUUGAUUGUGUCAUAAAGACCCUUAUGUCCACGCCCCAAUCGCCCCCCCGGAGGAAGAUGUGCAUCUAAUUAAAUCAAGUAAAAUAUAUGUUGAUUAAUCUUGGUUAAGUAACAUGAACUUUAAAUUCAAACACAUGACAUGCAUGUAUUGACUUGGUGUAUACACCGGGUGCGUGUAAGUUUUUUCCCUUUCAUUUUUCAUUAAAAGCACUUUCAAUUUAUUAAGAGGACAUUAUUAGAGUGUUGUUUUGGAAAAUAGAAUUCUGAUUUUAGGGGAUUUUACAUUAAUUUAGGAGAUUAAUUAAAAAAAAUGCUUUUUGACAAUUAAUUUUAAAAAUAAAAAUAAAAUAUAGCCACAGUACGUGAAGUAUCCAAUAUAGGCUUGUAAUAAUGAAGGAAAAGAAAAAGAGAAAGAAAAAUUUGUACAUAGUUUUUGCCAAAAUUAAAUAUUAUUUUAAAAAAAUUCUUUAAUUUCAUUAGUUUUGAUCCAUUUAGAGGGUUGGCUAUGAGCUUUCAAAGUGUGUAUUUUUCUUCACUUUUUUACUAUUUUUUUCUUUAUUUAGCGUUUAAUAAAAAAGCUUGCCAAAAAAAACUAUAAAUAAGAAUUAAAUGUACAAGUAUUAUAUAUUAUUAUUUUAUUUAUUUCGAAAAGGAAAAAAAAAAAGAAGAGAAAACCAUAAUGUGAAAAAACAAAUUUUUACUGAUAGUCCAUUUGACCAAGUUUAUUUUUAUCCAAAAGUGUUUAUUUUUUUUUUUAAAUUGCUUAUUUAAAAAAAUUGAGGUAUUAGACCAAACUUCUCUAAGAAAAUAAGUGCUUAUGAGAAGUAGAAGAAACAAUUUUCAUAAACUAAAGAAAAAAAAUAGUUUCCUUCAAAAGUACUUUUUUUUAUAAAAAAAAAAAAAAAAACUUUUGAGAAAAAUACACUUAAAAGCUAUUUUAAAAGCUUGAUCAAAUGUAAAUUAUUGCUCAAAACUUCUUACUCAAUUUAUUGGCCAUACAAAUUACUUCUCACCAAAAUUACUAUUUUGAAAAGCACUUUUCAAAAUAAAUAUUUUAUAAGCUUGGCCAAACAUGCUAUAAGAUUCCCCUUGUAUUAUAUAUUAUAAACUAAAAAUAUGAUAUAAUCAAACUAAUUUCAAGAAAUAAAAUAUUAUUGUAUUUCAAUUAAAAAAUUUAUUGCAUAAAAGAAAUUUAUGACUGCGCGAAGUGCGGUCAAGUACCUUGGUAUUAAUAUAACAAAGUAGUAGACUUCUUUCAUAAUUAUGCACCUUAAAACACGUAAUAUUUUCAUUUUCUCCUAAACAAUCGACAAUUUCUUCUUCUUUUUUAACCACUAAUUAAAUACCCCUAAUCAAUUAACAAAUUCUUUUUACCACUAAUAAACUUUAAAAAUAAAACCUUCUCAAUAGCCAUCUACAAUCUACCCCAUAAUAAACUUUAAAAUAAAACCUUCUCAAUAGCCAUCUAAGAAACACAAAAAAAGGGUAAACAUAGAAUCAGACUGCCAAAAUAAAAAAAAGACAACCCGAAACACAAAAAAAGGAUAAACAUAGAAUCAGACUGUCAAAACAAAUAAAAGACAACCCGAUACAACAGUAUGUGUAAACCUUAUACAAGUCAUAAUAUAAUCUUAUACAGUUUUACAUGUAUGUGUAAACCUUAUACAACUCAAUCUUAUACAGCUCGGACCAGACUCCAUUGCAAAAUUUAUACUUUACGGAUUAACCACUUUCAAAUAAAUAGCAAAAAAAACAAAGAUCUGACUUUGAAAUAUAUGAAAAAAUACAAAAAAAUUCAACUCUCACAAUGGUAUUGAAUUACAAAAGCGGAUACUUUGAUGAGUACAUACCUGCAGCAAAGAAAAAUUCGAAUCCAAAUUUAAUUUGGUAAAGUUGAAAAAAAAAACCCUUAAAAUUAAAUGAAGAAGGUGAACUUUGCUCAGUUAAUGAUUGAUAACUGAAUAAUUUGAAACUCCCUAGAUCACGUUAGCUUGAUUCUAGGCGUAAAUAAAGGAGCACAGAUAUGGAGUAAAAAACGGUGCACAAAAUAUGAAGCAGAAAACCUAUUUUGGUUAGUAUAAGGGGAUGAGAGAGAGAGUAAAAGUAAGAGAUUUUAUGUAAUUAAUAUGAAAUUUUUGUAAUUAUUUUUCAAAAUAGAAAUUUUAUGUAAUAUUUAAUAUGAGACUCUUGAGCGUGAAUAUCUGAU
Molecule: long non-coding RNA, 7991 nt
Filed under: Capsicum annuum
Lineage: Eukaryota; Viridiplantae; Streptophyta; Magnoliopsida; Solanales; Solanaceae
Description: long non-coding RNA (CANN_LNC001887)
Source: RNAcentral